RNAcentral lists this ribosomal RNA (300 nucleotides) under Escherichia coli. RNAcentral's name for it is "bacterial SSU rRNA". It matches the Rfam family "Bacterial small subunit ribosomal RNA", at positions 1122 to 1422 of the family's 1533-position model. The record is from RNAcentral. Lineage: Bacteria; Pseudomonadati; Pseudomonadota; Gammaproteobacteria; Enterobacterales; Enterobacteriaceae.
CGGUCCGGCCGGGAACUCAAAGGAGACUGCCAGUGAUAAACUGGAGGAAGGUGGGGAUGACGUCAAGUCAUCAUGGCCCUUACGACCAGGGCUACACACGUGCUACAAUGGCGCAUACAAAGAGAAGCGACCUCGCGAGAGCAAGCGGACCUCAUAAAGUGCGUCGUAGUCCGGAUUGGAGUCUGCAACUCGACUCCAUGAAGUCGGAAUCGCUAGUAAUCGUGGAUCAGAAUGCCACGGUGAAUACGUUCCCGGGCCUUGUACACACCGCCCGUCACACCAUGGGAGUGGGUUGCAAAA